AUGCAUGCCACCACACCUGGCCAUCCUCCUGCCUCAGCCUUCCAAAGCACUGAGAUUACAGGCAUGAACCACCAUACACAUGGCUUGUUACUGGUCUUUUUCGAGAAUAAUGAUAUAAGAAAACUAGCUAAGAUACAGUUAUAAGAGGACAAUUGUGAGCACUCCCUUUAUACACGAAGACUUCCUUACUCCUACCAGGUGGGUACUGUGAGCAGCAUCUCCACUUUACAGAUAGAAAAUGGGAGAAACUAAUUACCUUCUCAUGUAAACACACACAGUUUUGUUGUUGCCAAGUAGUCUUCAAAAUUAAUUGUGUAAGAUUACCUCUUCCCCAAGUAUGCAUAAGUAUGCCAGUUUCCCCAUACUUUUGGCAAUACUUUUAUAUUUUAACCACUGAAUAAACCAGUAUUCAUCAAGUUCUAUUAGAUAUUAACCUUCUCAACCAGACUUAAACAAACCAACAGAGUUGCUCAGAAGUAGUGAAAUUGACUUACUAAUGAUUUACCUAAAGGUUUCUACUGACCACUCAGUAAUGAUGUUAAUAGCUAGUGACAUCUUCAGUAGCAAGUCACCCAGCUAGAUGGAGAAGGAUGAGGGACAAAAGGUGGAGUGACACUCCACUAACACACUCAUACACAAGAGACCGGGACUACUUUAUGUGCUCCCAUUGCAGUAUAUGACUUUCUCCCAUGGCACUUAUGGCUGGUUUAACAUUUUUGCUUGUGUGUAUGAUCCCUUGAUUUGUGAGACUUAGAAUCUAAAUAUCCAUCUUUUGCAGUGGAUCAUGAGCUCCAUGAGGGCAGAACAUUUUGAUUUUGUUGGUCAUCUUAUUCCAGCACCUGUCCCAGGGGCUUUCACGGGACUAGACAGAUGAAUGAGAAUUUCAACUUUAUUCUAUGUAUCCAUGAAGGCUCUUUUGGUUGUAGGUGCAGAAGAAGUCAUCUCCAUAAUAAACAGUUACAUGCCACAUAGUUUGGGAAAAGGCUGAGGUCUGAGCACAUUAGAACCCUCAAGUUUAACUCUCCUUGGACAAACACUAUGGCUUUGGUGACAAGUGGGUUUGUCAGCACUCCUGUAACUAGCUCUCUAAGUUGACAACUAUAUUUAACAGUGUUUAAUACUUUGAAGUAUGAUAACCCUUUGCUAUGACUAGAUAUUCUCAUGAGUUACUAUGACUAAAAAAUGCAUUACUGGCCGGUGCAGUGGCUUACACCUGUAAUGCCAGCACUUUGGGAGGCAGAGGCUGGUGGAUUGCUUGAGUCCAGGAGUUCAAGAUCAGCUGGGACAACAUGGUGAAACCCCACUUCUACAAAACAAAUUAGCCGGGUGUGGUGGCAUGCACCUGCGGUCCCAGCUACUCAGGAGACUGGCUGACCCACCUCAGCCAGGUGGGUCAAGGCUGCAGUGAGCUGUGAUCACACCCUGA
Molecule: long non-coding RNA, 1426 nt
Filed under: Callithrix jacchus (white-tufted-ear marmoset)
Lineage: Eukaryota; Metazoa; Chordata; Mammalia; Primates; Cebidae
Description: lncRNA (ENSCJAG00000085483.1)
Source: RNAcentral